This 83-nucleotide small RNA is filed under the name Marmota monax (woodchuck). Lineage: Eukaryota; Metazoa; Chordata; Mammalia; Rodentia; Sciuridae. The record is from RNAcentral.
GCUGGGUGUGGUGGUGCACGCCUAUAAUCCCAGCAGCUGGGGAGGCUGAGGCAGGAGGAUCACAAGUUCAAAGCCAGCCUCAG